Molecule: non-coding RNA, 221 nt
Organism: Pelobates cultripes (western spadefoot toad)
Lineage: Eukaryota; Metazoa; Chordata; Amphibia; Anura; Pelobatidae
Source: the annotation of a GenBank genome assembly
CUUGGUACAGCUGGCCCCGCCUCCAAUCUUCAUGAUCUCAGCCAAUCCAAUGCUUUCCCUUAGUUGCUGCACACUUUGCAGGAUUGGGAUAGGAAGCACCUCAAGCGGCCAUCUGAGAGACUGCACCUAAAGUUGUUACUAAAGGUGUUACCAGUCGGGGUGCCAGGUGAUCCGUUACAAAUACCACAUAAGAUCAGCGACCGAACUCCCUCGUUCGGAAC